RNAcentral lists this transfer RNA (69 nucleotides) under Marmota marmota marmota (Alpine marmot). It matches the Rfam family "tRNA". Rfam says of the family: Transfer RNA (tRNA) molecules are approximately 80 nucleotides in length. RNAcentral also lists the same sequence under 1 other name. Lineage: Eukaryota; Metazoa; Chordata; Mammalia; Rodentia; Sciuridae. The record is from Rfam by way of RNAcentral.
GGGGCUGUAGCUCAGUGGUAGAGCACUUGCUUUGCCGGUGCGAGACACUAGGUUCGAUUCUCAGCACCA